This 253-nucleotide ribosomal RNA is filed under the name uncultured bacterium. Its description in RNAcentral is "partial 16S ribosomal RNA". It matches the Rfam family "Bacterial small subunit ribosomal RNA", at positions 524 to 776 of the family's 1533-position model. The record is from RNAcentral.
UACAGAGGGGGCAAGCGUUGUUCGGAAUUACUGGGCGUAAAGGGCGCGUAGGCGGCCUGCUAAGUCGAACGUGAAAUCCCUGGGCUCAACCCAGGAACUGCGUCCGAUACUGGUUGGCUUGAAUCCGGGAGAGGGAUGUGGAAUUCCAGGUGUAGCGGUGAAAUGCGUAGAUAUCAGGAGGAACACCAGUGGCGAAGGCGGCUUUCUGGACGGUAACUGACGCUGAGACGCGAAAGCGUGGGGAGCAAACAGG